GACAAGCGGGGACGAUGGCGCUGAAGCGGAUCCAGAAGGAAUUGACCGACUUGCAGCGGGAUCCUCCCGCCCAGUGCUCCGCAGGACCUGUGGGUGAUGACUUGUUCCACUGGCAGGCCACCAUCAUGGGCCCGAACGACAGCCCUUACCAAGGAGGCGUUUUCUUCCUGACCAUCCACUUUCCUACGGAUUACCCCUUCAAGCCCCCAAAGGGAGUGGUGGUGCUGCAGGACCUCAUGAGGGAUGGCCACGCAUGCUGCUCAGUACCCUGUGGUGCCCGGGACGGAAGAUGCACAGGUUGCUUUCACAACCAAAAUCUAUCACCCCAAUAUCAACAGCAAUGGCAGCAUCUGCCUGGACAUCCUGCGAUCACAGUGGUCUCCAGCACUGACGGUGUCCAAAGUUCUCUUGUCCAUCUGCUCUCUGCUCUGCGACCCCAACCCUGAUGACCCUCUGGUGCCAGAAAUAGCUCACACCUACAAGGCCGACAGAGAGAAGUACAACAGGCUAGCACAAGAGUGGACACAGAAAUAUGCUAUGUAAGUGCCUCGGAGGUUUUGAGGGACAGACUCGCCUGCCAGGCCCAUGUCUGCCUGUGAAGCUGAGCUGUGGGCUGCACCACUCAUGGAGCGUCGUCUCUUCUUCACGCACGCCUUGGCCGCCCCCUCUUUCUGGCUGCAGCAUGUUGGUGCCACUCUCAGCCAUUGUGGCUUUGACAGAGUCACAUCUUUGAUGCCAAAUCAGCAGCCAUUGUUAUGAUCUGCAGCCUUCCUGGUUAUACUGAAACCAGUCCGUCUGCUCAUGUCAUCUGUUCCGUCUGGGGGACAGGGUCCUGCACACCUCCCCCGUCAGCCUUGGACAGUGCCGCCGCUCACUGUGGCACCAGGUGGGAGCCCAGCCUGGCCCCUCACCACCUGCCCUUUGCCUUUAGAACUCAGAGUCGUCCUGGGCAUCCAGGGCAGAGCGGGCUUCCUUUACAUCUCGUCUGCCACAGAGCCAUGUCCUCAGGAGUCUGAGUACAUCCUGGAGGCUCCUGGGAAUUGGGACAGUGUCACUGGAAAGCAGAAGCCUCAUUCUGUGGCUUCUGCCAUCUUCCACUGUCUUCCUCUGCAGAUCCACAUGGUGCAUUUCUCUCCUCACAACAAGAAGCAGGAAGGGGAAGAUGUCGGGAUGUAAAGCACGUAACACUCCCUGAAAGAUGACGGUGUGUUUUAGAAGCAAGAGCGAAAUUAUGAAACCAGGAAAGAUUUAGAUUCUUUUGUAUGUGAUGAGGGUUCCCCAACCCCACCACCUCCUGCCAGGAACAUACACAAAGUCCAAGUGUAAGCCAUUCGCAGACGAGAACACAAAUACUGGGAAAGACUUUCAAAUGUAAAUAAAAAUGUGGUUUCCUUAUAACUCAAUGAUAA
This is an RNA transcript of Chinchilla lanigera (long-tailed chinchilla), 1409 nucleotides long. It is a transcript of the gene named ubiquitin-conjugating enzyme E2D 4 (putative), with no coding region annotated. The transcript has 8 exons. Lineage: Eukaryota; Metazoa; Chordata; Mammalia; Rodentia; Chinchillidae. The record is from RefSeq and is a predicted model, not a curated record.